RNAcentral lists this long non-coding RNA (962 nucleotides) under Anas platyrhynchos platyrhynchos (common mallard). RNAcentral describes it as "lncRNA (ENSAPLG00000029322.1)". Lineage: Eukaryota; Metazoa; Chordata; Aves; Anseriformes; Anatidae. The record is from RNAcentral.
AUGACCCCAAUCCCCCUCAGCCCCUUCCCACCUUCCCACUGCGCAUGCUCCCCCUCCCGCUGCACCCGGCCCCUUUCCCGCCAAAACUCCUUUUGCACACGAGCCGCUCAGCCCUCCCUCUUGCCCUCCGCGCAUGCGCGCCCAGGCCCCGCCCCCCGGCCGCUCUAUAAAUAUCGCCGCGCGCAGCCCCUCGCUCUCUUUCCACGGCGGGGGGCGAGGGAUGCGGAAGGUGAGCGGAGCGCGGCCUUAUCUUCAUCUCAUUUUUUUUUUCUCUCUACUAUUUUUUCCUCAUUUCUUGUCUUUUUCCUCUUCUCCUCGCUGUGCCGUAUGGAGCCGGUGACCUUCAUGAGGGUGGUGCUGCUCACAGCCAGCCCGGGGCCCACCGCGGCCUACCUGCGGCCUGAGGGGGGCAGGGGGAUACCCCGGGGUGGGGGGGGGCAGCGCCGCCUCUCACCGCCUCCUCUCCUUUCCCACAGGUUUGUUCCUGAUGCUCGGGCCGGCUUCGCCCAGCUUGCUCCACCAUUGAAAAGUUCGAUGUUUGUGGAGCACCGCUUUGGGAGUGUCUGCAACAAGGAAAAAGGCUUGUGAGUGCUACUAACAGCAGCCUGCGUACCCCGUGAGGGUGAGAGUUCAGAGCGGGCUGGAAAUGGGAGAAAGAGCCUACACGUGGUGACCUCAGAGCACAUGCUUCGUGCUGGGGGCCUGCAGUGACCUCCAGAGCACCCAGAGGCUGCAGGGGGUUGUGUGGCUGCUGUGUGAGGUGUCAUGUGAAGGAAAGCAGGGGCUGAACCCCUGUGGGCGAGCUGCACCCUGAGGAACAUGUGUGAAGAGCUGGGGGCUCUGGUGGGUUGCCGUGCCUCAUCUGCACCAGCUGGGGGGAGCACGUGGCUGAGCACCACCUGAAAAGGAGCCCAAGAAGAAAAAUGGGGCACUGGGAGCUGUUGUGGCUGUGGGGGAGGCUG